Molecule: long non-coding RNA, 1452 nt
Filed under: Octopus vulgaris (common octopus)
Lineage: Eukaryota; Metazoa; Mollusca; Cephalopoda; Octopoda; Octopodidae
Source: RNAcentral
AUUUAUUUCUUCUUUCUGUUGUUGUUGUUGUUGCUGUGCAGGUGUUGUUUGUUGUUUUUUGAGUCGUGUACUAUUGUUGUUAUUGUUGUUAUUGUUGUUACUCAUGAUGUUGAUGUUGUAAUUGUUGUUGUUGCUUUCUGCUGUUGUUGUUGUUACGGUUGUUGAGGAGCAACAAUGAAAUCAUGGCAAUUUCACUUUCACAUCAACAACAACAACAACAACAACAGACACAAACCCCCACCCUUAAGAUUGCUCUCUACCCCACCACCAGCAAGUAGGAAAACUAACGAACGAGCCAUAAUGUGGCCUUUCAGUCAGCUAGGAAUAGCAGCCAAAUUUCCCUUAAAUCACACCAUUUUAAAUAAGGAAAAGAUCCAUAAUAUAAGCUUACAGGAUGGCCACGACUGGAAUGACUUUGAUUAUAGGUUUACUCAAUCAAACCUGAUCUUGGCUUAAACAGCAGCAAUACCAUCUCCACCACAUCACCAUGGGAACCAAAUCCAAAACAUCAGAAAUAUCUUUUGUUCCAAUUUUGCGUAGAAAGUUCUUUUAUAUUUUAUUUCGGUGUUACAAUAUGGUGGUGGUGGUGAGGGGGGGGGGGGGUCAGUGGUGGUAGUGGCUUUGGUAUUGGUUGUGUUGGUGGUGUUUGUUCUGAUUGUUGUUGUUAUUGUUGUUGUUAUCUAUGAUUGUUUCUGUCAUGUGCCUCUGUGUGUGUGUGUGUGUGUGAGUAUUUGUUUCACCAGGUAUUCAGCUUUAUUGUAUGUCCAUGUUCUGCCUACAACACCUUAUUGUGGCCAGGCUGUCACAUCCAACAUUUAUCAGACAUGUGUCACAGAGGCAUCAUUCUGUGUGACGGGUGUGUGCCACAGUGUUCUUGUCACUCCGUGUCUGAUGAUGUGUCACAGGGAGCUUGUCCCUCUCCCUCUGUUUGCUGGUGCGUCACAAUGGCUGUUUUAGUGGUUGUUCCUGAUUGAGAGAGAUACCAUGCUACAGGUGUGACAUGCGAUAGGUGUGACAUGCGAUAGGUGUGACAUGUUACAGGUGUGACAAAUUCCUGGAAGAGCAUAUGAGAGUUGUGACACCAUCUGAUAGGUAGUGUUACAGUGUUAUUGAGUAACAUAAUCUCACGCUCUUACUCAGAUAUUGUGAUACAAUACUGUGUCACAAAAGAGUAUCCCAAUGCUGUAACAACAAGAACAGGAUAGGUGUGUAUGCGUGUUAAUGUGUGAAAGUGUAUAUGUUUAUGUAUGUAUAUAUGUGGGUAAUAAAUACAAACAAAUACAUAGUUGUAUGCCUGCGUGUAUGGGUGUGUAUAUAUGAAUUAAUAUACAUGUAUGUAUAUUAUAUGUGUAAUCGUAUGGAUACUUAAUAUAUACAAAUAUACACCUGUAUGUUUGUGUGAAUGUGUGUGUGUGUGCGCGCGUGUCUAUACACAUACACAUAUACAUAAAU